This 253-nucleotide ribosomal RNA is filed under the name uncultured bacterium. RNAcentral describes it as "partial 16S ribosomal RNA". It matches the Rfam family "Bacterial small subunit ribosomal RNA", at positions 524 to 776 of the family's 1533-position model. The record is from RNAcentral.
UACAGAGGGUGCGAGCGUUGUCCGGAAUCACUGGGCGUAAAGGGCGCGUAGGCGGUCUUGUAAGUCGGGGGUGAAGUGCUGCGGCUCAACCGCAGCGCUGCCUUCGAGACUGCAAGACUGGAGCACGGUAGAGGCGGAUGGAAUUCCCGGUGUAGCGGUGGAAUGCGUAGAGAUCGGGAAGAACACCAAUGGCGAAGGCAGUCCGCUGGGCCGUUGCUGACGCUGAGGCGCGACAGCGUGGGGAGCGAACAGG